CCUCUGCAACUGGAGACUGGGAAACCCUCUCCAAUCUUCAUAAAGAGAACCCAGGAAAGAUCUGCUCUAAACCAGUUGAUAUUGAAGCCAGAACUCUAUCUGGACUCAGUGUGGCUGCAGCAGGGGAUGUGAUUUUUAAAAGGGACACAACUACAGGAUUCGUCUGCAGAAACCAGGACCAACCCAGAAAUAGGAAGUGUAAUGAUUAUCGGGUUCGUUUCAGCUGCCAUCCCUCUUUUUGUAGUGGAGGUGGAGAAUUGACACAACUUCAGGAUUCAUUUGCAGAAACCAGGACCAACCCAAGAACAAGAGGUGUAAUGAUUAUCGUGUUCGUUUCAGCUGCUAUCCCCCUUUCUGUGGAGUGUGCUGGACCAAGUGCUAUGACUGCGACGAUCCCAUUGGAAUAGGGGACUGGGAGCUUUUGAGUAACCUGAGGACAGAAAACCCGGGAAAAAUCUGUGACCACUCUCUGAACAUUCAGGCUGUUACAAUUGACACAUUGACCCCAGCCAUCUCCACAGGGCAGACCUUCUUUAUCUACAAUCCAACUGACGGAUUUGUUUGCCGCAAUAAGGACCAGAAAUCUGGCGCGUACCGUGACUACAAAGUUCGGUUUGGGUGCCCAUGCAAUUAAGUCCUGACUCCACAGCUGAAAAGGAUAAGAAGACACAACAUUCACAUACAUUUUUCUCAGAUUUUUCUUUACUAUUAUUUUGUAUUCCUUCCUGGGCCUGAUGGAAGCAUUAUAAUACUCUUUUUCACAGCAGAUAUUUAAACUUGUAGGAAAAGCAAAUGUAUAGUAACAUUAACAGUGGCUCUGUUCUAUUCAAGUGUCCCAGUGAGCCAUGUGUGACAGUGAGCCAGUAUGUGAGAUCCUGCUACCAGGACCCUAAAGGCUAUGCAGCUAAAUGGAAUUCAGUCAUAGUUAAUUUUACUAUUUACGCCUAUGCUUUUUCUACCUAGACAUGGCAAAAUAUCUCCUGUGGAAAAAGGCCUAUUAUGUGCUUUAUCAGACUUCUUUUCAUUCUAGUGAUUAUGAAAUCAUUAUCUUGUAUUGUAGGAAAUAAAUCAACAGUAAACCGCAAUAAAUACUGCUAACAAAAAGCUAAUUCCGGUGAGGAAAUUAUCAGCUUUGGCUUUUCUAAUUGCAACUGUGCUAUGUCAAGACUUGUUCUCCUUGUUUUUGCCCAUGCCACAUUGCACACUCCGAAGUGAACAACACAUUGUUUGUGUCUUUACAAUGUACUUUCUGAGGGCAGUAUGCAUGUCAACAGUUUCAGUAAAACCAUAAUAAAAGAAUUUCACUGAUGUGAGCCUACACCAAAACAAGUUCCCUUGAAUGUACUACUAAAUGACUACAUUUAGUGUGAAAGACAUCACUCAAUGAUUAACCCACAGAGAAUUAUCACUUGACCCCUCAGUUUCCCUCAGCUACUGUAUACAGAGCUUUUUUAGCAUUUUUUUUUUAGCAUUUAGGACAUUGUUUUAGUCAUACGGCCAUAGUGUUGUUUUUACCCUCUCGACUAUGUUAGAUAACAAUAUGUCAAUGUUGUGUUUACGGCUUGUUCCGCUGACCCCAAGUGCCUAA
This is an RNA transcript of Perca flavescens (yellow perch), 1588 nucleotides long. It is a transcript of the gene named cartilage intermediate layer protein 1-like, with no coding region annotated. The transcript is spliced from 5 exons. The record is from RefSeq and is a predicted model, not a curated record. Lineage: Eukaryota; Metazoa; Chordata; Actinopteri; Perciformes; Percidae.